Molecule: non-coding RNA, 556 nt
Filed under: candidate division MSBL1 archaeon SCGC-AAA833F18
Lineage: Archaea; Methanobacteriati; Methanobacteriota
Description: candidate divison MSBL1 archaeon SCGC-AAA833F18 Archaeal large subunit ribosomal RNA
Rfam family: Archaeal large subunit ribosomal RNA
Source: Rfam by way of RNAcentral
GGCCUAGCGAACCCCGAGGUCCCUCUUGAUGGGGGGUCGGGAUGACGGAAAAGCUACCCCGGGGAUAACAGAGUUGUCACGGGCAAGAGUCCGUAUCGACCCCGUGGCUUGCUACCUCGAUGUCGGUUCUUCGCAUCCUGGCCGUGCAGCAGCGGCCAAGGGUAGGGUUGUUCGCCCGUUAAAGCGGAUCGUGAGCUGGGUUUAGACCGUCGUGAGACAGGUCAGACGCUAUCUUCCAGGAGUGACGGAUGCUUGAGGGGAAGGUAGCCUCAGUACGAGAGGAACGGGCUGUCGGCGCCACUAGUGUACCAGUUAUCCGAUAGGGUACAGCUGGGUAGCCACGCGCCAGUCGAUAAGGCCUGAAAGCAUCUAAGGCCGAAGCGACUCCCAAAAAUAAGCAUCCAAUCCUGAUCAUCAUCUUGGGACUGGCGACAGUCACAAUCAAUCAGGACGAGGACAGGGACUAGAAGAUCCCGUUGAUGGACUGGGGGUGUAAGCGCGAAGCCUCGGCGACGCGUUCAGCCCACCAGCACCAAUAGUCCAAGGUGCCAGACUU